CAAGUGAUGGGUUUACUGCAUUGU
This 24-nucleotide non-coding RNA is filed under the name Arabidopsis thaliana (thale cress). Lineage: Eukaryota; Viridiplantae; Streptophyta; Magnoliopsida; Brassicales; Brassicaceae. The record is from RNAcentral.